This 1048-nucleotide long non-coding RNA is filed under the name Cyanistes caeruleus (blue tit). RNAcentral describes it as "lncRNA (ENSCCEG00000010733.1)". Lineage: Eukaryota; Metazoa; Chordata; Aves; Passeriformes; Paridae. The record is from RNAcentral.
GAGGGGAAGAAAAGCUGUGUUGCUUUGGGAGAAGCGAGAGGCUGUGCUCACAGAGGACAGACGCUUUCCUGAGGUGCUUCCAGAGGAAUUUCCCUGGUGCUGAGGCUCAGGGGCCCCUCGUCUUGGUGACCACCGUGGAUUUUUCCUGCCGGGAAGGCCAGGGAGCUGCUCUCCGUGGGGAAGUGCAUGGUGUGAGUGUGCACACAGAGGUCCACGUGGCAGCUCGGAGGUGGCUGAGGACCAGCACUCCCUGCACAAGCACCUCAUCCUUCUCACAGGGACUGAGAUGCAACCCCACACCUGAGCUACCUCUGCUGGGUCAGAGCAAAACCCCGUGUCUUUCCACCCACCCAGAGGAGGGGGAACAGAUCUGGAUCUGUUUCAAAAUGUUGUGGCUAGAUCCCAGUUCCAUUUGGGAUGUAUUACUUUUUCCUGGUGCUGUGCUGAGCUGGGGGAAUUACCCCAAGAAAGAAGUUUUCUUCAGAGAUCUUUGUUUUGUUUUUUUAUAACAACCUCGUAAAGCUUCACAUUGAAAUUCGAAUUAAUUCCAUCAGAUUUAUGCUUAUUGUGGAUUAUUUUUAACACAUCCAAAAUAUGGGUAGGUCAGGUAUUUUAAGCCCUCUGCUCAAACUGGAUCAUGCUCACCUAUAUGCAGAACCUGAAAUAUUUUGAGUGUUCAUCUCACUUGAGGUAAAUCCUAAAUUUGAAGGGAGAAGCUGGACGUUAGAUGGUGAAAAUGCAAUGAAUGCCUGUUUCUACACAACUGAUAAAAGCCCUAAAUUUUGCCCCAUACAGGCCCGUGUUAUUUGAGUUGUAGCUCAUGAAGAGAAGCCUAAAACUUGCUUGAUAAUAGUAAAACUUUGACUUCAGUACUAAUGGAGGUAGCCAAUAAUGGGGACCUGUUGCCUUCAGUGCUGAGAGCCUGCUUGUACAAAUCCAUGGAAAAGGUUUUGGCAAAGGCUGUGGUGCCCAUUUCCAGCCCAGUAAAAGUCACUUUUCCUGGUUCACUGGGAAUAAAAAUAUAUCAAGCAUAGAGCUUGAGGACCUC